RNAcentral lists this ribosomal RNA (329 nucleotides) under uncultured eukaryote. RNAcentral describes it as "partial 18S ribosomal RNA". It matches the Rfam family "Eukaryotic small subunit ribosomal RNA", at positions 1470 to 1796 of the family's 1831-position model. The record is from RNAcentral.
CCCUUAGAUGUUCUGGGCUGCACGCGCGCUACACUGAAGCGUUCAACGAGUAUUUCACCUUGCCCGGGAGGGUUGGGUAAUCUUUUUAAAACGCUUCGUGAUGGGGAUAGAUUAUUGCAAUUAUUAAUCUUCAACGAGGAAUUCCUAGUAAGCGCGAGUCAUCAGCUCGUGCUGAUUACGUCCCUGCCCUUUGUACACACCGCCCGUCGCUACUACCGAUUGGGAAAAUUUUAGAGAGUCCUGGACUGAUGAUUGUUCGGCUUCACGGCCUUACUUUCGUCGGGAAAGAAUUCGAUAAUAUUUUUCUAGAGGAAGUAAAAGUCGUAACA